AUGGGAUACUGGCUAGGGAUAUACAGAGAUAAAUCAUGUGAUCGAUCUAUUACUUCAGCGAUUUACUUCUCCUUCUGCGAUUCUUCCUUUCAUCUUCUUCGUUUUGAUUCACUUUCUUGCUUCUGUCAAAUUUUGAUGUUGCUACGAUGCGGAAUGAUAUUGAUGUUACCGAUUGGUGAUGUUAGUGUUCUAACUGUGUGUUGA
Molecule: non-coding RNA, 204 nt
Organism: Vicia faba (fava bean)
Lineage: Eukaryota; Viridiplantae; Streptophyta; Magnoliopsida; Fabales; Fabaceae
Source: the annotation of a GenBank genome assembly